Molecule: long non-coding RNA, 1607 nt
Organism: Caretta caretta (loggerhead turtle)
Lineage: Eukaryota; Metazoa; Chordata; Testudines; Cheloniidae
Source: RefSeq, a predicted model, not a curated record
UGUUCGGGGCCUACCUACCUCGCGAGCGGCUGGAGGAGGGAGCGCGCGAGAAAGGCCCCGGGUGGUUCCGUGUCAACCGCGCGGGGUCGCAGCCGGGGAGGUUGCCGCGUGCUCUGUGCACACUUAGCUGAACGUUACUGAUCCACCGGCUGCACCCGAAUUCCAUCCUCUGUGUCUGUUUGUUACCUGCAUUGGUCCGGAGCAACUUCUGGGGGGAGGGAUAGCUCAGUGGUUUGAGCUAUUGGCCUGCUAAACCCAGGGUUGUGAGUUCAAUCCUUGAGAAGGCCAUUUAGGGAUCGGGGGCAAAAAUUGGGGAUUUGAGCAGGGCCCUGAGGUCCCUUCCAACCCUGAUAUUCUAUGGUUCUGUGAAAGCUUGGCUCUUCCAUGCAGCUGCCCUAUGGUUCCUGGGGGACAACAGGUUCAAGAUACAGAAGCUCCUAGGGUGCUUACCUCAGGAGUUGCACACGUUGUCCAUAGGCUGAGUGUAUUGCACAGACCUGGGGGCACCUUGCAUUCCUCCAUUGCCAACCCUCCAGAAACUCCCUGUGUGUCACCGUCCCAUUACCUGUUUCAGGACCCCCUUUGGUCAUGCCAUGGAUUUUGUGUGUCCCCCAUUGACUCCCUUUCCCUCAUUUCUCCCUCCCUGUUUCCUUCCAUAGCAGGGCCCCCCAUUCUCCAGGGGUCCUACUGCCCCAUAAUUCCCCCUCUCCCCAUACCAGGGGAAAUGUGUGCAUUCUCAUUCCGCUUUCUCCCCCAUGCCCCCCCAUUCCCCCAUAUCAGGGUUCCACAUUUUCCCAUAGCAAGGGAUUCUUUGUGCCUCCUAUUCCUGCAUUACCCCAGUGCUUCUCUCCCAUACCAAAGGCUAUUUGUGCACCCCCUUUCCACCCAUUUCCUCUCCCUCCCAUACCUGGGUCCCCCAUUCUGCCCCCUGCCAGAGGUUCUGUGUGCCUCCCUUCUUCUCAUACCAGGGGCUCUGUGUCUCCCUGUCUCCACCCCUAAGCCAGGAGCUCUUGUGUAUGUCCCUAUUUCGCUCUCCCCUUGCCUCCCCAUUCUCCCUUCUUCCCAUCAGAUGUAUUUUUAAUUUCUCCUUUCUUUUCUUUCUCUUUCAGGAUGUCAGUAUUUUUAAAGUUUAUUGGGAUGAUCAGCAAAACUGAGAUUGGGGUGUUGUUAUGAUGGAAUGUGUUAAUGGCUGCCAACCAGUUAUUUCAUUUUUAGACAAUUGCAGAAGUGGUUGAAGCUGGUAGCUCUGCAAACCAGAGUUUGCGAGUGUUGCUGAUAGUGCAGCUCUUAGAGAAGGGCAGGGAGUGAUGGCUACAGAGGGAAACUCCAUUUUUUAUUACAGAAGCAGCAUCUUCUUACCCAGCUGUAGCCGGAACCUGAGCAGCGCGGAGCCACAGUUCUCAUCGAUGGAAGUGGUAGUUGACGGUGCUUGGCACACUCAGAUUCAAUCCUUUUAUGUUGGAUCUUCCCUAUAUACCCCCUCCAUUUCUUGUUAGAAAAAAGUUCUUGCGUUUCUCAUUCUGUUUUCUCUAGCCCUUGGCUGCCCUCAUUUGUUUUCUUUCUCCUCUUGUGAGUCUUCCUUUCUGAUCCUGCUAAUUUUACCCUCA